GAACGCAUCUUGCGCUCCUUGGUAUUCCUAGGAGCAUGCCUGUUUGAGUGUCAUUAAUAUCUCAACCAUACUCAUGUUGAGGGUAUGGCUUGGACGUGGGGGUUACAGGCCCUUAUUUGUGGUCUGCUCCCCUGAAAUACAUGAGUGGCAAAGCCCCUCCAUUAGGUGUGAUACUUAUCUGCAUCUAUGGGGAUCUGCUGGAUCAUAUGUUGUUGUUGUUGUUCUUGACCUCAAAUCAGGUAGGACCACCCGCUGAACUUAAG
RNAcentral lists this unclassified non-coding RNA (263 nucleotides) under uncultured Inocybe. Its description in RNAcentral is "sequence contains 5.8S rRNA gene". The stretch from base 1 to 53 matches the Rfam family "5.8S ribosomal RNA", at positions 102 to 154 of the family's 154-position model. Lineage: Eukaryota; Fungi; Basidiomycota; Agaricomycetes; Agaricales; Cortinariaceae. The record is from RNAcentral.